UACGGAGGGGACUAGCGUUGUUCGGAAUUACUGGGCGUAAAGCGCACGUAGGCGGAUUUGUAAGUCAGGGGUGAAAUCCCGGGGCUCAACCCCGGAACUGCCUUUGAUACUGCAAAUCUCGAGUCCGGAAGAGGAGAGUGGAAUUCCUGGUGUAGCGGUGAAAUGCGCAGAUAUCAGGAAGAACACCGAUGGCGAAAGCAGCUCUCUGGGACGGUACUGACGCUGAGGCGCGAAAGCGUGGGGAGCGAACAGG
This 253-nucleotide ribosomal RNA is filed under the name uncultured bacterium. RNAcentral describes it as "partial 16S ribosomal RNA". It matches the Rfam family "Bacterial small subunit ribosomal RNA", at positions 524 to 776 of the family's 1533-position model. The record is from RNAcentral.